RNAcentral lists this long non-coding RNA (586 nucleotides) under Triticum aestivum (bread wheat). RNAcentral's name for it is "long non-coding RNA (TAES_LNC006530)". Lineage: Eukaryota; Viridiplantae; Streptophyta; Magnoliopsida; Poales; Poaceae. The record is from RNAcentral.
GCCAUGUCCAUCAUGAACUCCUUCAUCAACGACAUCUUCGAGAAGCUCGCCGGCGAGGCCGCCAAGCUCGCCCGCUACAACAAGAAGCCCACCAUCACCUCCCGGGAGAUCCAGACCUCCGUCCGCCUCGUCCUCCCCGGCGAGCUCGCCAAGCACGCCGUCUCCGAGGGAACCAAGGCCGUCACCAAGUUCACCUCCUCUUAGAUUCCGCUGCCUGUAUCUGCAACUAGAAGUAGUGUUAGUGCUGGCUGGAAAUAGUUGAAAGCUUGCCAAUGCUUUGUUGGCUCGUUGAUUGUAAGGGGUGAAUUUGUGCUGCUUUUGGCAAACUAAGAAUUCGAAAGUAAAACGAUUCAUUUCUGCUGCUGCGUUAGUAAUUUCUGCUGUGAUAUGGUUGUUACUAGGUAGCCGUACUGAUCUGCCAUACAAUCAUGCUUUUGUAGCAGUGCAAAUUUCCAGAUUAUUCAUUUGUUGACAAGUAGAUAGGCCGGGUUUAAUUGAAUUCUGUUCUUGUUUCCAGAGUAUCAGACGGAUGGGCUUAAUGUUGCAAGGAAGAAUAAGAGCAAUCCAAUGGAUUGCCUGCUGUUUC